RNAcentral lists this ribosomal RNA (442 nucleotides) under uncultured bacterium. Its description in RNAcentral is "partial 16S ribosomal RNA". It matches the Rfam family "Bacterial small subunit ribosomal RNA", at positions 338 to 795 of the family's 1533-position model. The record is from RNAcentral.
CCUACGGGAGGCAGCAGUGGGGAAUAUUGGGCAAUGGGCGCAAGCCUGACCCAGCAACGCCGCGUGAAGGAAGAAGGCUUUCGGGUUGUAAACUUCUUUUGUCAGGGAAGAGUAGAAGACGGUACCUGCCGAAUAAGCCACGGCUAACUACGUGCCAUCAGCCGCGGCAAUACGUAGGUGGCAAGCGUUGUACGGAUUUACUGGGUGUAAAGGGCGUGUAGCCGGGUUGACAAGUCAGAUGUGAAAUACUGCGGCUUAACCGCAGAACUGCAUUUGAAACUGUUGAUCUUGAGUAUUGGAGAGGCAGACGGAAUUCCUAGUGUAGCGGUGAAAUGCGUAGAUAUUAGGAGGAACACCGGUGGCGAAGGCGGUCUGCUGGACAGCAACUGACGGUGAGGCGCGAAAGCGUGGGGAGCAAACAGGAUUAGAUACCCCUGUAGUC